UACGUAGGGUGCGAGCGUUGUCCGGAAUUAUUGGGCGUAAAGAGCUCGUAGGCGGCUUGUCACGUCGGGUGUGAAAGCUCGGGGCUUAACCCCGGGUCUGCAUUCGAUACGGGCCGGCUGGAGUGUGGUAGGGGAGAUCGGAAUUCCUGGUGUAGCGGUGAAAUGCGCAGAUAUCAGGAGGAACACCGGUGGCGAAGGCGGAUCUCUGGGCCAUUACUGACGCUGAGGAGCGAAAGCGUGGGGAGCGAACAGG
RNAcentral lists this ribosomal RNA (253 nucleotides) under uncultured bacterium. Its description in RNAcentral is "partial 16S ribosomal RNA". It matches the Rfam family "Bacterial small subunit ribosomal RNA", at positions 524 to 776 of the family's 1533-position model. The record is from RNAcentral.